UUUAGGAUAUCUAGUCGGCAUGGAUGAGUUGGACCGAAGGGUCUGUUUCGGGCGGUACAACCCGAUUACUCUAACUGCACAUUGGGGUAGUCUGGUUAUCGGAGUGGCCAGAAUUUCUGCUUGCAUUUACCUUUUUAUGCUUCUGUUGCUAUCACAGGUUUGGUUUUGUCCAAGACAAGUACACUGCUUCAGCCUUUAACUUCCCUGCAGAGAACAAGCCACAGUAUAUUCAUGUCACUGGUACGGUUUUCCUUCAGUUGCCAUAUUCGAAACGCAAGUUCACGAGUGGCCAACAGAGACGGCGAAGGAACUCCACCAGCUCCAGCACCCAGAGCCUCUUCGGUGAGGAGAGAAUUGGCUACAACUGGGCCUAUAACACUAUGCUGACCAAAACGUGGCGCUCCAGUGCCACCGGCGAUGAGAAAUUCGCUGACCGGCUGCUCAAGGACUUCAGUGACUUCUGCUGCAACAAGGAGAACCGUCUGCUCAGCUUCUGGGAGAGCUGCCUGGAGAAAAUGCAUUCCAGUGCACCCUGAGAGAGAGAGAUCCGGAAUAUGGCAGCUGGGAAAGCUCAGGGAUCCUGGUCACAUUGUGGAUAUCCGGCCAGCACUACUUCCAUCUGUCCUUUACCCAUUGGAGUACAUUCAGUACCAUCACUGGGGGUGGGUUGUCAUUCUGCGAUGUGUUGCUGGUCUGCAGUGCUAGGCACUCUUAUUGUCUCCACACCUGAGCUUUUCCCUGACGAUUUCUGUAAUGUCCUGGUUGACCUUGUCAAUGCUUCAUGGUCGAACUGACUGUAGUUCCAGGUUUCAGCCUGAUUUCAGCUGGCCUGGCUAAAAAGGAUUAGCGAAUCUGAUCAGUCAGGCUGGGAACAAAUUCCUGGGACUCCUGGCAGUGACAGCUAUGAAAGUAAUUGUGGAGAAAUUCCGAGAGGAAGGAGCUGUGAUUCCUCCAUCAUCUGGUCAAAUCUCUCUGUGAACAAACUGCUCUCUCAAAAUGACCUUGCCUGCUCGCUAUGCUUCGGGCUUGUUUCCAAGCUUGGUUUCUUGAGCUCAUUAAAAUGACUGACCCCAGUGCCCACACUUUCUGAGGGAUGUGGCUGUGCAGUUGACUGUGCUGAGAGAUCGUAUCCAGAUAAUGACACACGAGGAUUUGUUGAGACUAUUGUGUGUGUGGAAUACUUUCCCUUUGCAAGAAAACUGAAGGAAUGGAAUGGCACAAAUCUUCAAGAAGGAGAAUGUUCCAAUGGAAAUAUUAACUUGGCCAAAUGUAGUCUUGUAUAAACUUGCCUGGGCUUAUUGUUGUAUGGCACGGUGCUGAUCAUGAGGACCAGACAGUGACUGCUUUCUGAACUGUGACCUGUCUCCAGUGUAUGAGCCCUACAGGCACUUGUACACACUGCCGGCCAGAUCACGAGCUGUUUCAUUCAUUGUGUCCUUUGAGCGUUUUGUUCAUAUUCCCCGUUGUUUAGUCCUUCCCCCUCCCCAUGAAGCACACCUAACGCUGGGGCAUACAUUCUCCACUAGUUUGGAAUUGCCUGCAGCAGGUAUAAGAAUCUAAUGAGGAUUCUGGCACUGGGGAGGAGAGGAAGAUCCAGAGACGAGGUUCAAUCGAAUCUCAAACACUUCGAUGAAAUAGACCCUAAAUAUGAGCACUGAAGUUUCAAUCUAUUUAUAUAAUUUGCACAAUGUUCAUCUACACUCCUCAGUUGUCAGGGUUAUGUGAACAGGUAGACAAAGCACAAAGUAUAUGCCAUCCUCCAUGGACUGUUUCCUGAGUGUAUUAACCCAGUCCCUCCCUGCACAGCGCCCCUUGAGUGUGGUAGACCCCAUCACUGCUGCGUGGGUCCAUAUUGGAGAUAUUACUCUGUGAAGACAAUGGAGUUGGUAAGUAGAUAAUGUCCAAGUAUCAGGGGCAAACUUGGGCUGAUAUUUAUUCUUCAUGGUUUCCGUAUCAAAUGUUGGAGUAUCUCAUUGCAAUUCCUGAACGGGGGGGGACUGCGGAAGGUUGUUUAAGAUAGUGUGCAAUCCUCUUCAUACCUCUUCUCUUGCCAGUGAUUGAGCUGUAACAACCAGAGCGCCCACUUGGUAUAUGACUGUGGCUGUUGGUCAGUAGGAUUUAGUCCAUUGCCUGUACUCGGACUGGUCCUGACCUUAUCAAUGUACUUGACUGAUGGAUCUAAAGAGAAGCAAACUCCAAGAACAUAUCCUGAGCUUGAUCUUCAAAAUUUUAUAUUUGCAAAUAAAAAAAAACAUUUUAAAAAA
Long non-coding RNA from Rhincodon typus (whale shark), 2264 nucleotides. RefSeq lists it as uncharacterized. NCBI's taxonomy places the organism in Eukaryota, Metazoa, Chordata, Chondrichthyes, Orectolobiformes, Rhincodontidae. The transcript is spliced from 2 exons. The record is from RefSeq and is a predicted model, not a curated record.